RNAcentral lists this transfer RNA (74 nucleotides) under Actinomycetes bacterium. Its description in RNAcentral is "tRNA-Cys". It matches the Rfam family "tRNA". From Rfam's summary of the family: Transfer RNA (tRNA) molecules are approximately 80 nucleotides in length. RNAcentral also lists the same sequence under 1 other name. Lineage: Bacteria; Bacillati; Actinomycetota; Actinomycetes. The record is from RNAcentral.
GGCGGCGUAGCCAAGUGGUAAGGCAGAGGUCUGCAAAACCUCGAUCACCGGUUCAAAUCCGGUCGCCGCCUCCA